AUGGAGAUGGGGGCUACCGCGUCGCAGGUGGGGAAAGUGAAAGACAGAGGAGGAGCGAGGUUGGAGACUCGGAGUUCUGAUGUUUCCACCGUCGGCGGCGACGGCGAGACGGGGGUGGGGAAAGUGAAAGAAAGACAGAGAGGAGCAAAGUGGGGAAAAAAUAUGGGGGAUGAUGUUUCCACCGUCGGAGUCACCGCGUCGUGGGCCAUAACCCUUUCUCUUUUUUCUUUUUUACGAAUGAUGAAAAUUGCUGACCAUGCGGGUGGUCUUCGCACACGGUCGAGUUUAGAUCCUUUGUGGAUUGCUAACAUGGUUGCUGCCUAA
Molecule: ribosomal RNA, 324 nt
Filed under: Triticum aestivum (bread wheat)
Lineage: Eukaryota; Viridiplantae; Streptophyta; Magnoliopsida; Poales; Poaceae
Description: partial small subunit ribosomal RNA
Source: RNAcentral